RNAcentral lists this ribosomal RNA (370 nucleotides) under uncultured bacterium. RNAcentral's name for it is "bacterial SSU rRNA". It matches the Rfam family "Bacterial small subunit ribosomal RNA", at positions 13 to 411 of the family's 1533-position model. The record is from RNAcentral.
UUGAUCAUGGCUCAGAACGAACGCUGGCGGCAGGCUUAACACAUGCAAGUCGAGCGCACUCUUCGGAGUGAGCGGCAGACGGGUGAGUAACGCGUGGGAAUCUACCCAGAUCUACGGAAUAACACAGAGAAAUUUGUGCUAAUACCGUAUACGCCCUACGGGGGAAAGAUUUAUCGGAUUUGGAUGAGCCCGCGUUGGAUUAGCUAGUUGGUAGGGUAAAGGCCUACCAAGGCGACGAUCCAUAGCUGGUGUGAGAGGAUGAUCAGCCACACUGGGACUGAGACACGGCCCAGACUCCUACGGGAGGCAGCAGUGGGGAAUAUUGGACAAUGGGGGCAACCCUGAUCCAGCCAUGCCGCCAGCGUUCAUC